ACUCUUCUUAAAUAUAAGCAGAAUAAUAAUGGAAAAGAGCUCCUUCAACUUGCGCCAAACUUCUCAGACUCUUCCAUUUCCAUUUUCCUCCAUUUCUGCGCAACUUUACAGAAAUCAGUGUAACUUCUUCAUUCUGUAACAAAAUCACAAGAUUUCAGUUGGGUAUGAAAGAAGACUCUUAAGAAACUACGUUUCUCUUAUAGAUUGGUUCGCCUAAAUCCUUCAAUAAGCCUUCCAAAAUUAGCUGCAAACGAGCUGCCACUGCUUGAUCCUAUGAAAUCACAGUUUUUAUUGUAUAUGGCCUUCACCUGCUACUACUUUGGCCUUCUUCCUAACAGUGUGAGGAAGAGCAGAGGGAGAGAUCAGGGAAGGGGGAGUGUUGAGGUUUGCUGGGCGGGGAUGGUGGCUGGAGUUGGAGGUUCCUGGAGGUAAAUGUGGAAGGUUGAGGCCCCACUAGAGGUUCUAGUCCAUGAUCCUUCUAGUAAAACAAGUGGACAGUUGUAUUUAUCAGCCAUAGGGCAUAGACUUCUUUGCUUGGUGAUGGUUGAGUGAUGCUAAGGAAGGGGUACUUUCACUUAUAUUCUUGUGAAAUCCCAAAUACUAAUUUUGAAAAGGGUCUGAUAAUGUAAAUUGAGUUGCUCUAUAUCAAUCUCAUAUGUCUCAUCUGUUCCAGAAAGGAAGAAAAGAAAGAUAAAUGGAUUAUAGAUAUUUUACCUUCGGUCAUAGAACUGGUGGCUUGCUUGAUACCUCUCACUGCUGAUAAGACUGCCAUGCCAUGCCAUGGCCAAAGUUGGAAGUGAAAUCAAAGUUAGAACAGAUAGCUGCCCAAUCCACUACCUGCUACCACCUUUAUCCUCUGUUAGGAAGUACCGAACAUGGUUGCGAAAAGUAGAAAGUACUUGGUGGAGUUUCUCUUCUCAAGCGGGGACUUGAGCUUUGAUGCUCGUUGGAAGGGGCCAUCAAUGGGCAACUCCAGCUGGAAGUUUGAAGCAUCCUUAUCCUUUGCCUGUUGACUUGGUAUCAGCCCCACAUAGACAGGUUGAAGAUCCUAACUAGAUGAGUAUCUUAACCUAGAACACCUUAUUUUCACUCCAAUUUCCUCAGGAUUAUUAACUUCCCACGAGUUUUGUCAAAUGGGUGCUUAAUAUGUCCCUAGUGCUAUGAGUGAACUAUGUAUUAUGCAGUUCACAAACAGUGCAACAGAUCAAAAGAUUGGUUUCACAAUUAAUUAGU
Long non-coding RNA from Macadamia integrifolia, 1233 nucleotides. RefSeq lists it as uncharacterized. The transcript is spliced from 2 exons. Lineage: Eukaryota; Viridiplantae; Streptophyta; Magnoliopsida; Proteales; Proteaceae. The record is from RefSeq and is a predicted model, not a curated record.